This 307-nucleotide ribosomal RNA is filed under the name uncultured eukaryote. Its description in RNAcentral is "partial 18S ribosomal RNA". It matches the Rfam family "Eukaryotic small subunit ribosomal RNA", at positions 1470 to 1796 of the family's 1831-position model. The record is from RNAcentral.
CCCUUAGACGUUCUGGGCCGCACGCGCGCCACACUGACAAAGGCAACGAGCUACUCUUCACCGAAAGGUGUGGGUAAUCUUUUGAAACUUUGUCGUGCUGGGGAUAGAUCCUUGCAAUUUUUGAUCUUAAACGAGGAAUUCCUAGUAAGCGCAAGUCAUCAACUUGCGUUGAUUACGUCCCUGCCCUUUGUACACACCGCCCGUCGCUACUACCGAUUGAAUGGUUUAGUGAGGCCUUCGGAUCCGCGACUCGUUUGUGGAGAAGUUGGACAAACUCAGUCAUUUAGAGGAAGUAAAAGUCGUAACA